CACAGCAGGUGACAUUAUUACUUAUAAAUUACAAGGAUGAUGGGAGAGGGGAUGGAUGUGGAAUGAGCCUCCCUUCUCCCUCUGGAUUAAUGUAGCGAGAGUGUGAUGAGCAUUUAAGUGAGAACCAGUGCCGGGAGAGAGAGAAGAGUCAACGCAGACGCUGCGAACAUCACUGUUAAGGGAGAGACAGGGGAAGGAGGAAACGACGAAAGAUCUGAGUUGAGUGGGAAACUAUGUCAUGGAAGCCGGAGGGCAGAGAGAUUACUAUCAAGAGGGAAAGCCACAUAUUUCACUGAUGGCUAUCCAGCUCUCCCUGGCAAUUUAUUAAUGAGACUCUUCUGGUGUUCCCGUCGUGGCGCAGUGGUUAACGAAUCCG
This is a non-coding RNA of Sus scrofa (pig), 376 nucleotides long. Lineage: Eukaryota; Metazoa; Chordata; Mammalia; Artiodactyla; Suidae. The record is from RefSeq and is a predicted model, not a curated record.